Non-coding RNA from Callithrix jacchus (white-tufted-ear marmoset), 275 nucleotides. The record is from RefSeq and is a predicted model, not a curated record. NCBI's taxonomy places the organism in Eukaryota, Metazoa, Chordata, Mammalia, Primates, Cebidae.
UUGAAUGUACGGCUAUUAUGAAAAUGGUGCUUUGUAGUCAUGAAGAGGGUGUAUUCUGGGAUCAGACCACCUGCCUGGAGAGCCUUACUAACCUCAGUUUCUUCAUCUUAUCUUUCCUUUCUGAAAAAAUAAUAAUAAGAUGAUACGUAUUCCUCUUAAGUCCUAACAGGAACCUUUUCCCCUCACUCCCUCCCCAGAGGUGGGUGUAUAUCAUUUCCAUGCAUGACUGUACUUUUACAACAUAUGCAUAUUCACAAAUAAAACAUGACAAAUUA